GACGAACGCUGGCGGCGUGCUUAACACAUGCAAGUCGAGCGGAAAGGCGCUGCUUUUGUGGGGUGCUCGAUUGGCGAACGGGUGAGUAACACGUGAGUAACCUGCCCUUGACUUUGGGAUAACUUCAGGAAACUGGGGCUAAUACCGGAUAGGAUCUCCUGCUGCAUGGUGGGGGUUGGAAAGUUUCGGCGGUUGGGGAUGGACUCGCGGCUUAUCAGCUUGUUGGGGGCGUAGGUGCUUACCAAGGCUUUGACGGGUAGCCGGCCUGAGAGGGUGACCGGCCACAUUGGGACUGAGAUACGGCCCAGACUCCUACGGGAGGCAGGAGUGGGGACCAUUCGACACUGGGCGGAAGCCGGAUGCAGCAACGCCGCGUGCGGGAUGACGGCCUUCGGGUUGUAAAACGCUUUCGCCUGUGACGACGCGUGAGUGACGGUAAUGGGUAAAGAAGCACCGGCUAACUACGU
RNAcentral lists this ribosomal RNA (467 nucleotides) under uncultured bacterium. Its description in RNAcentral is "partial 16S ribosomal RNA". It matches the Rfam family "Bacterial small subunit ribosomal RNA", at positions 28 to 506 of the family's 1533-position model. The record is from RNAcentral.